AUCCAGCUGAGGAGUCCCAUAUAGAACGAAACAUGCGUCAAACUGGAU
Non-coding RNA from Schistosoma rodhaini, 48 nucleotides. The record is from Rfam. Lineage: Eukaryota; Metazoa; Platyhelminthes; Trematoda; Strigeidida; Schistosomatidae.